AUGCAGCUCUGGUCGCUCGAGGGUGCCGAGGAGGCCCUUGGCGACCGGUGCAGGGUGGAUCGGCUCGACUCCAGAACCUUCGAGCAAGAUCACACGAAGACCUUCGGAGUGUGGGUCUGGGUGUGGGACGUUUCCCACAUCCCGACCAAGCGCGCCCUCUGGUUCAUCAAGCGCGGCGCCGGCCGGACCGAAGAGAUGUACGGCUUCUCCCUGCCGAGCCGCGACGUGCCCCCCCCACCGUGGGUUCGGCGUCGGGACCUUCUCAUCCACGUCGACCGCGUCGAGGACUGGACGCUGCUGUCCCCGCGCUCCUCCUCCUCGCCUCAGAGCGGCUUCCCCUCCUCCGAGUCCGAGGUCGACACCAGUCCGUUCCCAGCAGUCUACACCGGCACCUGGCACAUCAAGGUCGAAGAUGGCCGAGCCACUGCUGACCAUGGCCGGUCUCAGCGUUCCAGGCCGGUCGUGGUGAGCACUGGCUGCCACGGCAUGCCCUUCGAAGGCCACAGGCGCAGCCACGACGGCGACGAUGGAGGAGGCCGGCGCUCCUGGAAGGACACCCUGCUGGGGCGCAGGCGCUCCUCCCGUGGCAGUGAGGCGACAGACCAACCCCAGCAUCAUCAGCGCAGCCACACACCCUCUAGCCGUCGCGAGCAUCAGCACCGUCGCAACUCCUCAAGGGCAAGCAAGUGA
This 690-nucleotide ribosomal RNA is filed under the name Triticum aestivum (bread wheat). RNAcentral describes it as "partial small subunit ribosomal RNA". Lineage: Eukaryota; Viridiplantae; Streptophyta; Magnoliopsida; Poales; Poaceae. The record is from RNAcentral.